RNAcentral lists this ribosomal RNA (934 nucleotides) under Curvularia lunata. RNAcentral describes it as "partial large subunit ribosomal RNA". It matches the Rfam family "Eukaryotic large subunit ribosomal RNA", at positions 31 to 983 of the family's 3401-position model. Lineage: Eukaryota; Fungi; Ascomycota; Dothideomycetes; Pleosporales; Pleosporaceae. The record is from RNAcentral.
AAACUAAGCAUAUCAAUAAGCGGAGGAAAAGAAACCAACAGGGAUUGCCCUAGUAACGGCGAGUGAAGCGGCAACAGCUCAAAUUUGAAAUCUGGCUCUUUCAGAGUCCGAGUUGUAAUUUGCAGAGGGCGCUUUGGCUUUGGCAGCGGUCCAAGUUCCUUGGAACAGGACGUCACAGAGGGUGAGAAUCCCGUACGUGGUCGCUAGCUAUUGCCGUGUAAAGCCCCUUCGACGAGUCGAGUUGUUUGGGAAUGCAGCUCUAAAUGGGAGGUAAAUUUCUUCUAAAGCUAAAUAUUGGCCAGAGACCGAUAGCGCACAAGUAGAGUGAUCGAAAGAUGAAAAGCACUUUGGAAAGAGAGUCAAACAGCACGUGAAAUUGUUGAAAGGGAAGCGCUUGCAGCCAGACUUGCUUGCAGUUGCUCAUCCGGGCUUUUGCCCGGUGCACUCUUCUGUAGGCAGGCCAGCAUCAGUUUGGGCGGUGGGAUAAAGGUCUCUGACACGUUCCUUCCUUCGGGUUGGCCAUAUAGGGGAGACGACAUACCACCAGCCUGGACUGAGGUCCGCGCAUCUGCUAGGAUGCUGGCGUAAUGGCUGUAAGCGGCCCGUCUUGAAACACGGACCAAGGAGUCUAACAUCUAUGCGAGUGUUUGGGUGUCAAGCCCGAACGCGUAAUGAAAGUGAACGGAGGUGGGAACCCGCAAGGGCGCACCAUCGACCGAUCCUGAAGUUUACGGAAGGAUUUGAGUAAGAGCAUGGCUGUUGGGACCCGAAAGAUGGUGAACUAUGCUUGAAUAGGGUGAAGCCAGAGGAAACUCUGGUGGAGGCUCGCAGCGGUUCUGACGUGCAAAUCGAUCGUCAAAUUUGGGCAUAGGGGCGAAAGACUAAUCGAACUAUCUAGUAGCUGGUUCCUGCCGAGUUUCCCCUCAGGAAAAAG